Molecule: long non-coding RNA, 632 nt
Organism: Armigeres subalbatus
Lineage: Eukaryota; Metazoa; Arthropoda; Insecta; Diptera; Culicidae
Exons: 3
Source: RefSeq, a predicted model, not a curated record
AACAAAUCAUUUUGCAUAAAUAAAAGUUUUUCCUUUUAACGCAAACAUUGUAAAACUGUUGAACCAUCCAUUUAGAAUUACUCUUCUUUUUUUUGCCGGUGUCAGUUAUUGUGCGUGAUUUCUUGGUGACGGAUUGAGCCGACCUUUCGUCAACCGUAAAUAAAUUGGACUUCUGGAAUAAAGUUUGCCUGCUGACUCCGCCAAUUUCAACAACUAGGUUCUACCUCACGGUUCUACGAUCACCGAUCAUCGGAUUUAAAAAUGCUUCAUAAAAGAGUGCGUUUUAAUUGGAAACAGUAAAUAAAUACUUUUGCCGGUAAAAGAGAUAUCGCAUGUUUUUAGGGUUAGUUCCCCAAGGAAAAUUCCUUCCUGGGACAGCCCAGCUCCCUUCAUUUAUGCUGAAAAUUCGUCGACUGCCAUCACACGGAUUGACGCCAGAUAAACUGCAUGAUUUAAUGUACCUGACCAGCAAUAAUCCAUGCCACAAUGUCAAGAUGACGACGAUAUGCACCCUUGUGGGCGUUGCUGCACCAGUAGCUCGCCGGAUUUUAGCCAAAUCUCGCCAAAGAUUGUAGUGUGACAUCUCCGUGACCCAUUGUUAAAUAAAAGAAAUAUAAUGUUUAAGUAACAAA